UGGGGAAUAUUGCACAAUGGGCGCAAGCCUGAUGCAGCCAUGCCGCGUGUGUGAAGAAGGCCUUCGGGUUGUAAAGCACUUUCAGCGAGGAGGAAGGUGGUGAGCUUAAUACGCUCAUCAAUUGACGUUACUCGCAGAAGAAGCACCGGCUAACUCCGUGCCAGCAGCCGCGGUAAUACGGAGGGUGCAAGCGUUAAUCGGAAUUACUGGGCGUAAAGCGCACGCAGGCGGUUUGUUAAGUCAGAUGUGAAAUCCCCGGGCUCAACCUGGGAACUGCAUUUGAAACUGGCAAGCUAGAGUCUCGUAGAGGGGGGUAGAAUUCCAGGUGUAGCGGUGAAAUGCGUAGAGAUCUGGAGGAAUACCGGUGGCGAAGGCGGCCCCCUGGACGAAGACUGACGCUCAGGUGCGAAAGCGUGGGGAGCAAAACAGGAUUAGAUACCCUGGUAGUCCACGCUGUAAAAC
This 462-nucleotide ribosomal RNA is filed under the name uncultured bacterium. RNAcentral describes it as "partial 16S ribosomal RNA". It matches the Rfam family "Bacterial small subunit ribosomal RNA", at positions 355 to 808 of the family's 1533-position model. The record is from RNAcentral.